GAGGGUAUAGCUCAGUGGUAGAGUGCAUGCCUAGCAUGCACAAGGUCCUGGUUUCCAUCCCCAGUACCUCCA
Molecule: transfer RNA, 72 nt
Filed under: Camelus bactrianus (Bactrian camel)
Lineage: Eukaryota; Metazoa; Chordata; Mammalia; Artiodactyla; Camelidae
Also listed under: 2 other names
Rfam family: tRNA
About the family: Transfer RNA (tRNA) molecules are approximately 80 nucleotides in length.
Source: Rfam by way of RNAcentral